Molecule: ribosomal RNA, 463 nt
Filed under: uncultured bacterium
Lineage: Bacteria
Description: partial 16S ribosomal RNA
Rfam family: Bacterial small subunit ribosomal RNA
Source: RNAcentral
GACGAACGCUGGCGGCGUGCUUAACACAUGCAAGUCGAGCGGUAAGGCCCUUCGUGGUACACGAGCGGCGAACGGGUGAGUAACACGUGAGUAAUCUGCCCAUCACUUCGGGAUAACUCCGGGAAACCGGUGCUAAUACCGAAUAUGACCACUUCAGGCAUCUGAUGGUGGUGGAAAGUUCCGGCGGUGAUGGAUGAGCUCGCGGCCUAUCAGCUUGUUGGUGGGGUAGUGGCCUACCAAGGCUUCGACGGGUAGCCGGCCUGAGAGGGUGACCGGCCACACUGGGACUGAGACACGGCCCAGACUCCUACGGGAGGCAGCAGUGGGGAAUAUUGGACAAUGGGCGAAAGCCUGAUCCAGCAACGCCGCGUGAGGGAUGACGGCCUUCGGGUUGUAAACCUCUUUCAGCAGGGACGAAGCGCAAGUGACGGUACCUGCAGAAGAAGCACCGGCCAACUACGUG